GUGUAUUUAUGCCUGUCAGUUGCUGUCUGAGGUCUCCGCGACAACAAAGCAUCAGGUCAAAGCUGCCCUGAAGGAGGAGUUGUCACUGUAUGCUUCUGAUGGAGAAACAGAUCUCUGCAGGACUGCAACAGGCUGGUCUGCUGCAGGACAACAUCGCUCACACGAUCACAGGUGCUGACGCCUCUGAGGGGCCUCGGUCCAGGCGAUGCCAGGAUGUGGAAGUGCCUGGAUGGGCUGGAGUUGAGCUCAGUUACUGGAUCAAAACAGUUGAGAGUGAUGAGGUGCUCCCUGCCACAGCAGUUCACGCCUAUCCCUGUCAGCCCCAGCUCUAGUUUCUCUGAGCCGGUGCACCACGAGCUGCUGCCUCCCGGUGACUGCCCGCAGAACUUCUGCAAAACCUCCGAAGGCUCCACCUCAGGAUCGGAAACACUCACACCAUGCACCGUGUCUGAUGACACUUUGGCCAACUCAGAAAACUCUGAAAACCACACGCCCUCACUGUGUCUCUGUCCAUGUUCCUUAAAGCUGCAGUAAUCUGUAUUUUAAUAAUAAUUAAACUAUGGCAAUAGGGUGAUAAUUAUGAAUUUUAGACAAAUGAACAAUGACUCAUCAUUCUGAUCAUCAUGUUCACAUGGAAAAUUAGGUUUUCCAAGGAACCAAUAGGGAUAGUCCCCACUGUUAUAUAUUCAUGUGCUGGGUCCAAGGGAUUGUUUUUGAAAGAGGGCUGCAAUAAACCAUUUGUUUCACUAUUGAUCUCUUGAUUAUGUUUUUGAAAAAAGUGGCAAUAGACAACAUUUCAACUCCCCAACUUUCAGCGUUUCCAAGUAAUCGGAAACACUCACACCAUGCACCGUGUCUGAUGACACUUUGGCCAACUCAGAAAACUCUGAAAACCACACGCCCUCACUGCAUGAUGCAGGAGAAUACAUCCACCUCACUGAACCAUGAAGCAUCGGUACAACAAGUUUACUAGAGUAGAUCAUGUCCUUUGAAUUUUUACGUCUAUUUGCAUUUUACACAACUAAAAUACAACUUCAACAGAAAGGGAACAAAUUGAGAGCUACAUAGUGAAAUUAGUUUAGCA
RNAcentral lists this long non-coding RNA (1084 nucleotides) under Cottoperca gobio. RNAcentral describes it as "lncRNA (ENSCGOG00000002439.1)". Lineage: Eukaryota; Metazoa; Chordata; Actinopteri; Perciformes; Bovichtidae. The record is from RNAcentral.